CGGCUCAGUAACACGUGGAUAACCUACCCUUGAGACGGGGAUAAACCCGGGAAACUGGGUAUAAUACCCGAUAGAUCUCGACUGCUGGAAUGCAUCGAGCUUGAAAGCUUCGGCGCUCAAGGAUGGGUCUGCGGCCUAUCAGGUAGUAGUGGGUGUAGCGUACCUACUAGCCUACGACGGGUACGGGUUGUGAGAGCAAGAGCCCGGAGAUGGAUUCUGAGACACGAAUCCAGGCCCUACGGGGUGCAGCAGGCGCGAAAACUUUACAAUGCUGGAAACAGCGAUAAGGGGACCUCGAGUGCCAGGUUACAAAUCUGGCUGUCGUGAUGCCUAAAAAGCAUUGCAUAGCAAGGGCCGGGCAAGACCGGUGCCAGCCGCCGCGGUAACACCGGCGGCUCGAGUGGUAACCGUUAUUAUUGGGUCUAAAGGGUCUGUAGCCGGCCGGAUAAGUCUCUUGGGAAAUCUGGCAGCUUAACUGUCAGGCUUUCAGGAGAUACUGUCUGGCUCGAGGCCGGGAGAGGUGAGAGGUACUUCAGGGGUAGGGGUGAAAUCUUGUAAUCCUUGAAGGACCACCAGUGGCGAAGGCGUCUCACCAGAACGGACCUGACGGCAAGGGA
Molecule: ribosomal RNA, 617 nt
Filed under: uncultured Methanosaeta sp.
Lineage: Archaea; Methanobacteriati; Methanobacteriota; Methanomicrobia; Methanotrichales; Methanotrichaceae
Description: bacterial SSU rRNA
Rfam family: Archaeal small subunit ribosomal RNA
Source: RNAcentral